This 256-nucleotide ribosomal RNA is filed under the name uncultured bacterium. Its description in RNAcentral is "partial 16S ribosomal RNA". It matches the Rfam family "Bacterial small subunit ribosomal RNA", at positions 15 to 252 of the family's 1533-position model. The record is from RNAcentral.
GAUCAUGGCUCAGGAUGAACGCUGGCGGCGUGCUUAACACAUGCAAGUCGAACGGGAAACCUUUUAUUGAAGCUUCGGCAGAUUUAACUGGUUUCUAGUGGCGGACGGGUGAGUAACGCGUGGGUAACCUGCCUUGUACAGGGGGGAUAACAGUCAGAAAAUGACUGCUAAUACCGCAUAAGCGCACAGGACCGCAUGGUCCGGUGUGAAAAACUCCGGUGGUAUAAGAUGGACCCGCGUUGGAUUAGCUAGUUGG